GUGAGACUCAGCGCUCCAACCCUUGCGAAUCCUACCAUUGCGGCGUUGUUUCGGCGGGUUUGUUGGUGGAUGGCAAUCCCUUCUGGGAGAGCCGUACACUGGCAUUCCGCCUGGCCAGCGGAGCCCGCCGGCAGCGCCAAAUUCUAUUUUAUAGCACAACUAUAUUCUGAGUGGCAAUACAAAACAAAGCA
Molecule: unclassified non-coding RNA, 191 nt
Filed under: uncultured Ascomycota
Lineage: Eukaryota; Fungi; Ascomycota
Description: sequence contains ITS1
Source: RNAcentral